AAACCCCUCUCUCAGGUUGUGCCAGUGUACAAAAGGCAGACUUUCUGAAGAGUUUAAUGCAAGAAUUUCAGCAGGAAGUUAAAAAUGAGGCUCCAUCUUCUGCUUCCGGCUCUCCAGACUCUUUCUCGUCUGUUCAGACUCUCACUCAGUGCUUUACGUGGCUGGACGCAGACGCCGAUGGGCUUCUGAGCGAGCGGGAAAUGCAUCCAUUGUGUCUCCUGCUCUGCAGAACUCUGCGUCCUCUUCUGCGACCGGAGCGCAGACUGUUGCCUAAGUGCUCAAGAACUCACUUCCUGUCUUGGCAUUUAAGGCCGGACUCCAUAAAUAUUGUGCAGGAUGAAGUAUCUUUGGAAAUGAUUUCAGACUUCAGUCUGACCUUCAUCUGUCCACAGCUCUUUUGA
Long non-coding RNA from Cyprinus carpio (common carp), 401 nucleotides. Lineage: Eukaryota; Metazoa; Chordata; Actinopteri; Cypriniformes; Cyprinidae. The record is from Ensembl.